This 492-nucleotide ribosomal RNA is filed under the name uncultured bacterium. Its description in RNAcentral is "partial 16S ribosomal RNA". It matches the Rfam family "Bacterial small subunit ribosomal RNA", at positions 29 to 507 of the family's 1533-position model. The record is from RNAcentral.
AGUGAACGCUGGCGGUAGGCCUAACACAUGCAAGUCGAACGGCAGCACAGUAAGAGCUUGCUCUUACGGGUGGCGAGUGGCGGACGGGUGAGGAAUACAUCGGAAUCUACUUUUUCGUGGGGGAUAACGUAGGGAAACUUACGCUAAUACCGCAUACGACCUACGGGUGAAAGCAGGGGAUCUUCGGACCUUGUGCGAUUGAAUGAGCGGAUGUCGGAUUAGCUAGUUGGCGGGGUAAAGGCCCACCAAGGCGACGAUCCGUAGCUGGUCUGAGAGGAUGAUCAGCCACACUGGAACUGAGACACGGUCCAGACUCCUACGGGAGGCAGCAGUGGGGAAUAUUGGACAAUGGGCGCAAGCCUGAUCCAGCCAUACCGCGUGGGUGAAGAAGGCCUUCGGGUUGUAAAGCCCUUUUGUUGGGAAAGAAAAGCAGCAGGUUAAUACCCCGCUGUUCUGACGGUACCCAAAGAAUAAGCACCGGCUAACUUCGUG